UGAAUACGAGACGCUACGGCGUCGAAGCAGUCUAUGUCAUACUUCCAAGAAAAGCUCGCAAUGUCAUAAACAAAUAAUGCCUGUACCAUAACCGACACAGGUGGGUAGGUAGAGUAUACUAAGGGGCGCGAGAUAACUCUCUCUAAGGAACUCGGCAAAAUGACUCCGUAACUUCGGGAGAAGGAGUGCCUUAUUUAUAAGGUUGCAAUAACAAGAUCCAAGCAACUGUUUAUCAAAAACACAGGUCUCCGCUAAGUCGUAAGACGAUGUAUGGGGGCUGACGCCUGCCCAGUGCCAGAAGGUUAAAGAAGUUGGUUAGCAUUCGCGAAGCUGAUAACUGAAGCCCUGGUGAACGGCGGCCGUAACUAUAACGGUCCUAAGGUAGCGAAAUUCCUUGUCGGGUAAGUUCCGACCCGCACGAAAGGCGUAAUGAUUUGGAUACUGUCUCGGAGAGGGGCUCGGUGAAAUAGACUUGUCUGUGAAGAUGCGGACUACCUGCACCUGGACAGAAAGACCCUAUGAAGCUUUACUGUAACUUGAAAUUGAAAUUGGACUUUAUUUGCGCAGCAUAGGUGGGAGGCGUUGAGAGUAUUCUUGCGGGAAUAUUGGAGCCAUCAGUGAGAUACCACUCUUGUAAUGUUAGAUUUCUAACUUUGGAUCAUUAUCUGGUCAAAGAACAGUUUCAGGCGGGCAGUUUGACUGGGGCGGUCGCCUCCCAAAUGGUAACGGUGGCGUACAAAGGUUUCCUCUGAACGGGUAGAAAUCGUAUCUAGAGUGUAAAGGCAUAAGGAAGCUUGACUGUGAGACCUACAAGUCGAGCAGGGACGAAAGUCGGUCUUAGUGAUCUGACGGUGCUGAGUGGAAAGGCCGUCACUCAACGGAUAAAAGUUACCCUAAGGAUAACAGGCUGAUCUCCCCCAAGAGUUCACAUCGACGGGGAGGUUUGGCACCUCGAUGUCGGCUCAUCGCAUCCUGGGGCGGUAGUACGUCCCAAGGGUUGGGCUGUUCGCCCAUGAAAGCGGUACGCGAGCUGGGUUCAGAACGUCGUGAGACAGUUCGGUCCAUAUCCGGUGUAGGCGUUAGAAUAUUGAGAGGAGCCUUCUUUAGUACGAGAGGACCGAGAAGGACAUACCUCUGGUGUACCAGUUAUCGUGCCAACGGUAAACGCUGGGUAGCUAUGUAUGGAGAGGAUAACCGCUGAAAGCAUCUAAGUGGGAAGCCCACCUCAAGAUAAGUAUACUC
This 1242-nucleotide ribosomal RNA is filed under the name metagenome. RNAcentral describes it as "bacterial LSU rRNA". It matches the Rfam family "Bacterial large subunit ribosomal RNA", at positions 1564 to 2815 of the family's 2925-position model. The record is from RNAcentral.